CCAUCCUGGAAUUGGUGAGUACUUGUCUUGUUUCAGAGGCAGGACAAGCACCCCUGUCGAGAAGUUCUUGAAUACGUGCGGACCAGCUUCAAAUCCACCAUUUUUCACCAAGUUACCUGCAUACAUGACCAGGAAAAAGAAGGAUCAGGAAAGUUGAUGCUAUCGUCGAGUUUGGAAUCAAGAGAAUACAUUUCUACAACGAAACAAGAGAGUGAUUUUACACUUUUAUUGGAUGUAUCAUUCGUGUUUGAGUGAAAAACUAAGAAGAAAAAAUGUAUUUCGUGAUAAUACUUUGUCUUGAUAAUUGAUCUGUCCUGAGUAUGAUGACUUGAUUCUGUUUAUUUACGAA
Long non-coding RNA from Solanum pennellii, 349 nucleotides. RefSeq lists it as uncharacterized. The record is from RefSeq and is a predicted model, not a curated record. The transcript has 2 exons. Lineage: Eukaryota; Viridiplantae; Streptophyta; Magnoliopsida; Solanales; Solanaceae.